Molecule: non-coding RNA, 666 nt
Organism: Oryctolagus cuniculus (rabbit)
Lineage: Eukaryota; Metazoa; Chordata; Mammalia; Lagomorpha; Leporidae
Source: RefSeq, a predicted model, not a curated record
GGCCGUAGCAGAGAGCUGGAUUGGAAAUGGAGCAGCUGGGACUCGAACUUGCAUCCAUAUGGGAUGCCAACACCGCAGGCAGCGGCUUUACCAGGUUAUGCUCAUGACUCCUGGGGCCACAGCUAGUGCAGGAGUUUUGCGGUAUUGAUGAUACAGGAGACACAUGCCUUUUAAGAAAGGAGGAAGAACUUCAGUUGUACACCGUUUUCCGAUGUGGGGAAUGGAUGAAGAGUUUGAACAGGCUGAGUUUGAAAUACUGGAUCUAGGAUUCCUUACAGAGUGUGUGACUGGCCAGAGGUCCUGACACCUUUAAGACUCAAGUGGAAACACAGCAUCUACUAUCUAUGGAAGGUUUCUUGUGAAGAUGAAAUAAUACUGGUUAUGACACAGGAACAUGUGAGGUCCUAAUAUUACAUUCGUUAGACAUGUGUCAUUUCUUUCAGGCCCUCUGCAGAUUACUUAUGUAACUUGAUAAUACUUUGCCUGUCUGACGAAUGCCUCUCUGUCACAGACAGGCACUUGAUGUACUUUGGUCAGCAAAAAGUGAGUGAGUGGACUUAAUGAGUAUGAUGCUGAACCGGGACUUUGACCACCUGUUGGGCCCCACUCUCUUCUCUUUGCUUCUCUCUGAAGACAGCCAUGGAAAACCAUAUGGGGCUGCUCAUU